AUUAGCAGCCGCGGUAAUUCCAGCUCCAAUAGCGUAUAUUAGUGUUGUUGCGGUUAAAAAGCUCGUAGUUGAAUUUCGGGAUUGGGAUAUAUCGGUCGUGCCUUUAGGGGCAUGAUACGGUGUGUAGCCAAUUUCUCACCUUCUGGUGAGUCGGGAUGCUCUUGGGUGUUUCGAUGAAUCAGGACCUUUACUUUGAAAAAAUCAGAGUGUUUAAAGCGGGCAUUUUUGCUUGAAUACAUUAGCAUGGAAUAAUAAAAUAGGACGAUGGUUCUAUUUCUAUUUUGUUGGUUUUAGGACCACGUAAUGAUUAAUAGGGAUAGUUGGGGGCAUUAGUAUUCAAUUGUCAGAGGUGAAAUUCUUGGAUUUAUUGAGGACUAACUACUGCGAAAGCAUUUGCCAAGGAUGUUUUCAUUAAUCAAGAACGAAAGUUAGGGGAUCAAAGACGAUUUUAUGUACGUCGUAGUCUUAACCAUAAACUAUGCCGACUAGGAAUCAGACAAAGUUCAUUUUUUAACGACUUGUUUGGUACCUUACG
RNAcentral lists this ribosomal RNA (535 nucleotides) under uncultured Entrophospora. RNAcentral describes it as "bacterial SSU rRNA". It matches the Rfam family "Eukaryotic small subunit ribosomal RNA", at positions 566 to 1092 of the family's 1831-position model. The record is from RNAcentral. Lineage: Eukaryota; Fungi; Glomeromycota; Glomeromycetes; Entrophosporales; Entrophosporaceae.